AGCUCCAAUAGUGUAUAUUAAAGUUGCUGUAGUUAAAAAGCUCGUAGUUGAAUUUCUGAUGAGAGUAGUCUGAUUGAUACAUUGUAUUGAUACUUGUACUAUCUCUGGUCAUCUUUGGAGGGAACAUAUUUGAUAUUAAGUUAUCAGAAAUGAGGUCUUCAUACUUUACUGUGAAAAAAUUAGAGUGUUCAAAGCAGGCUUUUGUUGUUGAAUAUAUUAGCAUGGAAUAAUUAUAUAUGACUAUGGUACUAUUUUGUUGGUUUGUCUGCCAUUGUAAUGAUUAAUAGGGACAGUUGUGGGUAUUUGUAUUCCAUUGUCAGAGGUGAAAUUCUUGGAUUUCUGGAAGACAAACUACUGCAAAAGCAUUUAUCAAAGAUGUUUUCUUUA
RNAcentral lists this ribosomal RNA (387 nucleotides) under Coscinodiscus sp. Its description in RNAcentral is "partial small subunit ribosomal RNA". It matches the Rfam family "Eukaryotic small subunit ribosomal RNA", at positions 587 to 975 of the family's 1831-position model. The record is from RNAcentral. Lineage: Eukaryota; Bacillariophyta; Coscinodiscophyceae; Coscinodiscales; Coscinodiscaceae.